This is a long non-coding RNA of Sorex araneus (European shrew), 1328 nucleotides long. RefSeq lists it as uncharacterized. The record is from RefSeq and is a predicted model, not a curated record. NCBI's taxonomy places the organism in Eukaryota, Metazoa, Chordata, Mammalia, Eulipotyphla, Soricidae. The transcript has 5 exons.
CCCGGGCGCCCCCCCGCGGCAGGCAGGGCGGCUUAGAGGGCGCAGUACUCGCCGGGGCUCUGGUGGAUGAGGAUCAGCUCCCCGCCGUUCACCUGGAUGUCCUCGCAGGAGCUGCUGUGCGUGGUCACGUUCAGGAUCCUCUGGAUUCCCGACAGAGGACAGAUGUGCUGUGAAAGCUGAGACCCAGAAACGCGUCUUCACGUGGCCCUCGGUGCUGGCGUCCUCCUGCAGACGCUCAGAGGGAACCGGGGUCCCCGCUGUGUCUGCUGGGACCCGAUGCUGCGGAUACGCAAGUCGCCAAGGAAAGGGAGUGUGUGCCGGGGUCUCACUGGGUGACACGGCCGUGAGUGUCUGCAGGCACACAGAGACGCGUCCCCUCGAGUCUGUCUGUACCGAGGGAGCUGCUGAGAGUGCGGAACCUGCUGCCUUGCAGAUGACGGGGAGACGAAAGCUCCAGCACCGAGCCUGGCAAAACAACGCAUGGGAGUCCAGCGCUCGGCCAACAGGGCUGUGCCCUUCCCUUGCUUUCUACGGGAUAUUCCAUUAGAUCCUCGGAGAGCUCCUUAAGCGGAUACUCUCCCAGGGAUGGACCAACCAAACAGGUGCAUCUAAGAGUUCUGAAGGAAGGGGAGCCUGGUGGGACGCUUAGAGAAAAUGGACCAGCAGCCCGGGGCGGACAGCAGAAACUGCCCGCCUGGGCGGGACCUCCCGGUGGAGCUGGGGCUGAAACCCCACAGAUCGCAGCUACACUGAACUGGUUCACGGGGAAUGCGCGGUGCAGGUAGAGUCUUACGACUCCGAGGUAUCCCCCUUUCUGCAGUACCUUCCUCACCCGAGUGUGUAUUCCACAGAGGGCCCACUCUCCCUGAGCCCCCAGAAAUAGAAAGAAAUCACGGGGGGAGAGGAUAACGGGAAGUAGGGGUCAGCGGGCAUCAGGACUUCAUUGACACCAGUGACAGCAGUGAGAGACAGAGCCACAGGCCCAAACACAUUCAAGAGAACUGAAACGAUCCCUGCGUGGUGAACUACAGGGACUUUGUAGUGUGCCUGUCAAAGUGACAGGUGAAGCAGGGGUCGGGAUGGGGACACUGGAGGAGAGAUUGGUGUUGAAUUAUUGUAUGCCUAAAACACAACUGUCGGUAGCACUGCACUGGAGCACUGUCGUCCCGUUGCUCAUCGAUUUGCUCGAGCAGGCACCAGUAACGUCUCCAUUGUGAGACUUGUUGUAACUGUUUUUGGCAUCUCGAAUACGCCACGGGGAGCUUGCCAGGCUCUGCCGUGCAGGCGGGAUACUCUCGGUAGCUUGCCGGGCUCUCCGAGAGGGACAG